This 335-nucleotide ribosomal RNA is filed under the name uncultured bacterium. RNAcentral describes it as "bacterial SSU rRNA". It matches the Rfam family "Bacterial small subunit ribosomal RNA", at positions 196 to 512 of the family's 1533-position model. The record is from RNAcentral.
GAGGAAGAAAGCAGGGGACCUUUGGGCCUUGCGCUGUUUGAGCGGCCGAUAUCUGAUUAGCUAGUUGGUGGGGUAAAGGCCUACCAAGGCGACGAUCAGUAGCGGGUCUGAGAGGAUGAUCCGCCACACUGGGACUGAGACACGGCCCAGACUCCUACGGGAGGCAGCAGUGGGGAAUUUUGGACAAUGGGCGCAAGCCUGAUCCAGCCAUGCCGCGUGUCUGAAGAAGGCCUUCGGGUUGUAAAGGACUUUUGUCAGGGAAGAAAAGGGCGGGGUUAAUACCCCUGUCUGAUGACGGUACCUGAAGAAUAAGCACCGGCUAACUACGUGCCAGC